This 410-nucleotide long non-coding RNA is filed under the name Equus asinus (donkey). RNAcentral's name for it is "lncRNA (ENSEASG00005035906.1)". The record is from RNAcentral. Lineage: Eukaryota; Metazoa; Chordata; Mammalia; Perissodactyla; Equidae.
AGAAUGUUAACAUAUGAAGAAAAUGACAUCAUAAACCUCAAAUAUUACAUUGGAUUGUCAUACAAAGAUAACUUUUUAUAAGCAAGAUUUAUACUAGGCCACGAAAUGGUCACAUCCAUUAAGAAACUAUUCAUCCUUGAGGACAGAGCUCUUCAUUCACAAACCAGAGUAUAACUUUCCAAGCAGCUGAGGAUACCCCCAUGGACAUGGUCUCCUUCAGCUUUAUUAAUGCUAAUUGUAGGGGAUUUCAGAGCAACAAAAACUUGCACUGGAAACACGUUUGGAUCAAGAAAUUGGACACAAAUAAAAGCUCAUAUGUACCACAAGCCCUGACUCAAUCUGGAGCCAAGUGGUUUGCCUCGGCGAGCUCAUUUAACCCUUGCCACUGCCCCUGGAGGCAGGUACAUGCC